RNAcentral lists this ribosomal RNA (430 nucleotides) under uncultured delta proteobacterium. Its description in RNAcentral is "bacterial SSU rRNA". It matches the Rfam family "Bacterial small subunit ribosomal RNA", at positions 355 to 776 of the family's 1533-position model. The record is from RNAcentral. Lineage: Bacteria; Deltaproteobacteria.
UAGGGAAUUUUGGGCAAUGGGCGAAAGCCUGACCCAGCAACGCCGCGUGUGGGAUGAAGGCCCUCGGGUCGUAAACCACUGUCAGGAGGAAAGAAAAGCCAUCCGGGUAAUAUUCGGGUGGCCUGACGGUACCUCCAAAGGAAGCACCGGCUAACUCCGUGCCAGCAGCCGCGGUAAUACGGAGGGUGCAAGCGUUGUUCGGAAUUACUGGGCGUAAAGCGCGUGUAGGUGGUUGAGUAAGUCGAAUGUGAAAGCCCCGGGCUCAACCCGGGAAGUGCAUCCGAAACUGCUCGACUAGAGUCCCGGAGAGGAAGGCAGAAUUCCCAAUGUAGGGGUGAAAUCCGUAGAUAUUGGGAGGAAUACCGGUGGCGAAGGCGGCCUUCUGGACGGUGACUGACACUCAGACGCGAAAGCGUGGGGAGCAAACAGG